RNAcentral lists this ribosomal RNA (253 nucleotides) under uncultured bacterium. Its description in RNAcentral is "partial 16S ribosomal RNA". It matches the Rfam family "Bacterial small subunit ribosomal RNA", at positions 524 to 776 of the family's 1533-position model. The record is from RNAcentral.
UACGAAGGUCCCAAGCGUUGUUCGGAAUCACUGGGCGUAAAGCGUGUGUAGGCGGCGGGGUAAGUCAGAUGUGAAAGCCCGAGGCUCAACCUCGGAACUGCAUCCGAUACUGCCUUGCUUGAGUAAUGGAGGGGAGUCUGGAAUUCACGGUGUAGCAGUGAAAUGCGUUGAUAUCGUGAGGAACACUAGUGGCGAAGGCGAGACUCUGGACAUUUACUGACGCUGAGACACGAAGGCUAGGGUAGCGAAAGGG